Molecule: ribosomal RNA, 497 nt
Filed under: uncultured bacterium
Lineage: Bacteria
Description: partial 16S ribosomal RNA
Rfam family: Bacterial small subunit ribosomal RNA
Source: RNAcentral
GAUGAACGCUGGCGGCGUGCCUAAUACAUGCAAGUCGAGCGAACAGACGAGGAGCUUGCUGCUCGGAUGUUAGCGGCGGACGUGUGAGUAACACGUGGAUAACCUACCUAUAAGACUGGGAUAACUUCGGGAAACCGUAGCUAAUACCGGAGAAUAUUUUGAACCGCAUGGUUCAAUAGUGAAAGACGGUGUUGCUGUCACUUAUAGAUGGAUCCGCGCUGCAUUAGCUAGUUGGUAAGGUAACGGCUUACCAAGGCAACGAUGCAUAGCCGACCUGAGAGGGUGAUCGGCCACACUGGAACUGAGACACGGUCCAGACUCCUACGGGAGGCAGCAGUAGGGAAUCUUCCGCAAUGGGCGAAAGCCUGACGGAGCAACGCCGCGUGAGUGAUGAAGGUCUUCGGAUCGUAAAACUCUGUUAUUAGGGAAGAACAAAUGUGUAAGUAACUGUGCACAUCUUGACGGUACCUAAUCAGAAAGCCACGGCUAACUACGUG